CACGGGGGGAGCAAGCGUUGUUCGGAAUCACUGGGCGUAAAGGGCGUGUAGGCGGUCAGGUUAGUGAGAUGUGAAAUGCCCCGGCUCACCCGGGGACCUGCAUCUCAAACUGCCUGGCUUGAGUAUGGGAGAGGAUGAGGGAAUUCCUGGUGUAGCGGUGAAAUGCGUAGAUAUCAGGAGGAACACCGGUGGCGAAAGCGCUCAUCUGGCCCAAUACUGACGCUGAGGCGCGAAAGCUAGGGGAGCAAACGGG
Molecule: ribosomal RNA, 253 nt
Filed under: uncultured bacterium
Lineage: Bacteria
Description: partial 16S ribosomal RNA
Rfam family: Bacterial small subunit ribosomal RNA
Source: RNAcentral